This 811-nucleotide ribosomal RNA is filed under the name uncultured bacterium. Its description in RNAcentral is "bacterial SSU rRNA". It matches the Rfam family "Bacterial small subunit ribosomal RNA", at positions 1 to 811 of the family's 1533-position model. The record is from RNAcentral.
GAAUUCGCCCUUAGUUGGAUCCUUGCGCAGGACCAACGCUGGCGGCGUGCUUAACACGUGCGAGUCGAACGAGGGUUAUUAGGUAGCUUGCUGCUGGGUAACCCGAGUGGCGGACGGGUGAGUAACACGUGAAUAAUCUGUCCUAUACAGGGGGAUAACACAUCCAAAGAUGUGCUAAUACCGCGUAGGACCACGGGAUCGCGUGGUUCUGAGGUGAAAGACUAAAGUCAGUAUAGGGUGAGUUCGCGUCUGAUUAGAUAGUUGGUGAGGUAACGGCCCACCAAGUCAACGAUCAGUAGCCGACCUGAGAGGGUGAUCGGCCACAUUGGGACUGAAACACUGCCCAGACUCCUACAGGAGGCAGCUGUGGGGAAUAUUGGGCAAUGGGCGAAGAGCCUGACCCACUAACGCCGCGUGAAGGAAGAAGGUUUUCCGGAUUGUAAACUUUCUGUCCUAUGUGAAGAGCGAGAGACGGUAGCAUAGGAGGAAGCCCCGUCUAAUUACUUGCCAGCAGCCGCGGUAAUACGUAGGGGGCGAGCAUUGUCCUGAAUGAUUGGGCGUAAAGGGCGGGUAGGCGGCCUGUUAAGUAUGGAGUGAAAGUCCUGUUUUCAUGAUGCGAAUUCCUUUGGAUACUGAUGGGCUUGAGUGCAGGAGAGGUUAUCGGAAUUCCCGGUGUAGCGGUGAAAUGAGUAGAUAUCAGGAAGAACACCGGUGGCGAAGGCGGCUUACUGGACGAUAACUGACGUUGAGGCUGGUAAGCGUGGGGAGCAAACAGGAUUAGAUACCCUGGUAGUCCUCCCCGUAAACGAUG